Molecule: long non-coding RNA, 2876 nt
Organism: Manis pentadactyla (Chinese pangolin)
Lineage: Eukaryota; Metazoa; Chordata; Mammalia; Pholidota; Manidae
Exons: 3
Source: RefSeq, a predicted model, not a curated record
GCCCCGCCCCCCGCGCGGUGGAGGCCGCACCGGCUCACGUCGCCGCUGCGUGCAGAGUUGCAGGGCCAUCUACGGGAAAGAGCCUUGGCCUGGGAGCCUGGAAACGCGCCUUCCAAUCAAUGGCCUCUGAGCCCUUGAUUCCUAAACUCUGACUCCUGAGCCAGCGACAUGUGGAAGCUGCAAGGGUGAAGCCCAUGGGGAAGAGAGUCAGCAUGGAGGGACUGGUGGCACAGCAGGGGCAGGAGGCAAGACAGCGAUGCCUUGUCCACUGAUUCCCACUCUACAGGGGAACGAAGGUACUUCCCAACAUGCAGCCAACUCUGUGAGUCACCCUAGGCUGGCUGUGGUGAAACUGGAUGCUGGGAUCACCAGUGUCUGUGAAAUGGGUGUAAAGCCAUAGAACUCACCAGCUAGGCUACGGUUUAAUUCCUCAGUGCCCUCGCCUGUGGAGUACAGCCAGAUCCUCACUGUCCACUCUCGAGAAGGAGCCUUGCUGUGGGAGAGCGGGUUUCACCUCACUAGGAAUUUGUAUAUGUACAAACCAGAGCCUGAAAAGAGGAACUGUUUGUACUCAAACACACUGUGGUCAGAGGAAAAUUUUGUCAUCAUUGUUGUGACAGAGCAACAACUAAAUUUAGCAAGCUGUGUAUUUGAGUGUGCGCAUGUGUGCAUGUGUGUGAUGCUUGGAGAAAACAACACAUUAUGUUUCCAAAAAGCAAAAACUCCCUAGACCAAAAAAGAAGCCCUCUUCUAACUUGGCAUUUGAUUACCAUGGUGUCCCUUACUCCACUUACUUGAGAUGUCUGCUUUGUCUGUGUCCUUUGUAGCAUGACAUUCUUUCAAGAUAGACUGUGUCACUAGAGGAACAUUGGCAUUUGCUGGAGUUUGGGUGUUUUUUUGUUCUCUGGUGAUUUCCACUCUGGGAUUGACAUAAACAGAGGUGUUGAACUUCCGUAUUUUGAAUGGGCCUCCCUCGAAUAUGGGAGUCUAAUCUUUGAUGGCAAUUAAGUAUAUACGUUUAUUCUUCACAAUAAAUUUUAAAUUUUAACACGAAAGUGAAAUUCCAACUUACGACAUUGACAAAAUGCAAUACAUUCCUGGCUGUUAGCAUAUACACUAACAAAAGUCCUCUCUGUGAUUCCGAAGUUCCAAAAAACAAACUAUAUAUACUGCAUUGUAUCUGUCUUCAUCAAAGAAAAUGCUAGUGCCAGCAUGGAAACCAGAGCAAUUUAGUUUCUUGCAAUCCACAGAAAAGAGGGAGUAGAAGGUGAAAUAAAUAUAUGCUGGAGACAGGGGUGCAGAGUGAAACACAUCUACGAGGACGCAAGAGUUUUAGGAAACAGUGGGAAAAGGAAUUGAGACCAGAGGAAGAGAGAGAGAGAGGUGUGUGAGAUAUGGAAGAGAGGGACUUCCAAUUUUAGUAAUCAGACAAAUAUUUGAUUCGAAGUUAUUCUGAAGGGUUUUACCUCCCCUAGUAUGCUCUAGACCAGUGCUCUCAAAUUUUAUCUCAGGCUCCCCCUUUUUUUUCUCUUUCUUCUUGUCGUCUGUGGAGCCCCUGAGGUCUGCUGGAGUUUACGAUAUCCACUCCCUCCCUCUGGAGUCCUGUAGAGUCUCCUGGCCAGCUGGAGCUUUGUCGCAUGUCAGAAUUCAGACGUUACUUUUACUGAAGCAUAAGUCCUCACUGUGCGAUGGGCUGCCCCCAGCUCCUCCCUUAGGAAGUCAGGGCCCCUUUUAAACUCUUAAAAAUUAUUGGGGACUCCAAUCAUACUUUCUCUCCCUCUCUCCCCCAAGUAUUCAUCCCAAGGGCCCUCCUUACUGAUCAGCCUGCCCUCUAUAGUCUGUCUCAGAGUUUGCUUCCUGGGCAACCUAACUGGUUACAAGUGUCUAGCACAGUACCUACUAUAUGUAUGCUUAAGCUUUUGAAGAAAUUAGUUUCCUCAGUUACAGGUAUACUGGACUUUAAACAAACUAAAUUUAAUAACUUCUAGACACCUGUGGAGAUUUUUCAUUUUGUAAAGAGAUUCUUUGAAUCUCUUAAGGUAUUUUUCACAUAAUAGGAUGCAUUAAAAAUAAGGUAUAAUUACUAGGGAAAUGCACAUCAAAAGCACAAUGAGAUACGCCUUCACGCUCAUUAGGAUGGGUACCAAAAAAAAAAGAAAGAAAGAAAUUUUGGUAAGGAUGGUGAGGAUGUAGAGAAGUUGGAGCACUUACUCAUUGCUGGUAGGAAUGUAAGAUGGUGCCAUCGCUGUAGAAAACACUUUGGACAAGUUCCUCAAAGACUUAAGCAUAGAAUUAUGAUACGAUCCAGCAAUUCUGCUUCUAGGUAUAUAUCCAAAAGAAUGAAAGCAGUGACUUGAACAGAUUUUUGCACAUUCACAUUCACAACAUUUUUCACAAUAGCUAAAACACUGACACACCCAAGCAUGGCUUGAGAGGUGAAUGGAUACAGCAAAAGGUGGUAUGCUGUAUACAUGCAAUGGAAGAUUACUCACUGUCAAGGUAGAAGGAGAUUAUGAGACAUGCUACAUUAUAUAACAGUGGUGAACACGGAAGACAUUAUGCUAAGUGAAAUAAGCCAGUAGCAAAGGGACAAAUAUUCCUCUUCUAUGAGGUAGUUAGAAUAGUCAGAUUCAUAGAGAUUGAAAGUAGAAUGGUUGUUGCCAGAGGCUGGGAUAGAGGGUAAUAAGGAGUUAUUGCUUUAGGCAUACAGAGUUUCAGUUUAGGAUGAUGAAAAAGUUCUGGAGAUGGUUGGUGGUGAGGGUUGCACAACAAUGUGAAUGUACUUAAAGCUGCUGGAAUUGUACACUUAAAAAUGAUUAACAUGGAACAUUUUGAGUUGUGUAUGGUAUUUUACUACGAUAAAAAAAUUAAAAUUU